Lutra lutra (Eurasian river otter) is the source of this 1829-nucleotide long non-coding RNA. RefSeq lists it as uncharacterized. The record is from RefSeq and is a predicted model, not a curated record. NCBI's taxonomy places the organism in Eukaryota, Metazoa, Chordata, Mammalia, Carnivora, Mustelidae. The transcript has 2 exons.
CAGAGGCUUGACCCACUGAGCCCCCCAGGCGCUCCCCCAACCCUACUUCUUGACCGAUCCUCAGCUCUUGGCCUCGGGGAGGGGGUGCUGCCAUUCUUCUAGAGCUCCCUCCCUCCUGUGCUCAGGGACCACAGACUAGAAGGAUUGCACUGUGCCUUGGCCAGCCCGAGUCUGGGAGCAGUAAAAUGGGAAGGGUCUGGGCUUUGGGAAACACGGAUGUCAGAAGCACCAAGAUAAAGCUUUUCCUGUCGCUGGAUGGACGUGCGAUGUCUCCAAGGAUGGGUCAGGAUGGAAGGAGGGAGCGCCACAGCCGGACCCUGGACACCUCCCCGCAGGAGAGGCUGUUCCUGGGCGAACUCAUCCUUCAGGAGAAGUCUCGGCCCCAGCGGGACGGGGUGCGUCUUUCCUACAUGCAGCUCACGGCAUGUCCUAGAUUGGUGGUAGGCUGUCCCUGUGGUUUGGCUAGAGUGCUUUCUCCUUCUAGUCCCAGAGUCCGCAGAUCGACAGACGUGUCAGAAACGCUCCUGGCACAAAGGCCCCAUCUCCGUCCUCGCAGACCUGUCAGGUGGUGAUAUUUGUCAGAAAUCCCGGUGAACGUGUGACCUGACCUGUUCUUCUGGUUCCUCUUCCCAGGAUUGUCAUCUGUCUUCUGUCAGGACAUUGACAAGGGCUUUGCUUUCCUUCAUUCUGUCUCUCAGAGUCUCGGGGCUCAGGUUACCUGGGAUUGAAUCCCAGGUAAGGUGUUUGCAGAAUUCUCGGCCAUGCGUUCCUGAUGUUGCAGGUGUGGGUAGGGUGUCUCAGCCUCUUCCUCAUUCAUUUUUAAACCCGUGCCCUUUACUGAGUCCACAGUACCCGACCCAACGGAAAACGUCUAAUUCCUUGAGACUUGCUUGCAAGAUUGUCGUUUUCUCAAGUGAUGCCACGUGACUUCGAAUUUCACUUGAAAAGAAAACUUCCAGUGGCCAGCUUUCUCCUGGGUUCUAGAGUUUGCCCAAAACACCCCGUGUCUCCCUUCCCAGGUCACCGGGCUCCAAGGCUCUCAAAGGCUUGGUUAGAGCCCACUGUGCCCAGCCUGCACCUUGUAAUAGCGCCUCCGGACGACUCACAUCCCGGUGACCCCCUGAGAGCAACGCAGCGGGGCCAACAUGACAGUUCCCUCUGUCAGUGUUUCGGGUUGUGCCCUGACCGUGACUGGUUUUGUACACAUAACGGACACGCACGGAUCUUACCCACCAGGUAGAGCCAGGCGCAUAAGAAAUUAAUGCCUUCAAUUCUCUGUAUCUCGCCAUUCCCUUUUAAGAUGAAAGUUCCAUUCAUAUAACCAACGCCCAGACUCCACUCCCACGUUGAAACGCCUGAUGAACCGCGCUGCCUCCCUGAGCCCCACGUGGCCGGACAGCAGGGACCCCAUGGUGGGGCUGUCACUGUCCUGCCCGCUGAGGCUCAGGCGGGCGUGCUUUCCUCAGAAAACCCUGGAGAUGCCGGCAGAGAGAGCGUGAGGGCCUCGGGCCUCUGUGGAUCCUUGUGAGUCUUGAACGCUCUUCGUGAACCCCUGGCCACGGAGCCCACGGAGCCCAUGGAGCCGCCACAGAGGGCCCUGGACGGUCGAAUGGCCCUGGUCACUCCUGCCCCUCGCAGGAGCCCUGUCCGAGCCGCAGGGCGUGUUUGUGCGCAUUCCAGACCCAGGAGGCCUGGUCGCGCUCCGCUCGCUCCUUCCUGCGUUUUCGGGUUCCAGUCGAAGGAGUUCCUUGUGUCUCGAGGUCGGCCCACCUGUACCCACACAGCCCUAAAAGUUUCCAGGUGGUGAAGUUGGAGUUCACCCACUGAUU